GACAGAGCCUCGAGCGUUAGGCGGAAUCACUGGGCUUAAAGCGUGUGUAGGCGGAUCGUUAAGUACCUUGCGAAAUCCCACGGCUCAACCGUGGAACGGCUGGGUAUACUGGCGGUCUUGGGCCAUUCAGGGGCGACUGGAACAAGCGGUGGAGCGGUGAAAUGCGUAGAUAUCGCUUGGAACGCCGAAGGUGAAAACAGGUCGCUGGGGAUGUGCCGACGCUGAGACACGAAAGCCAGGGGAGCAAACGGG
Molecule: ribosomal RNA, 252 nt
Filed under: uncultured bacterium
Lineage: Bacteria
Description: partial 16S ribosomal RNA
Rfam family: Bacterial small subunit ribosomal RNA
Source: RNAcentral